UAUUUCUUUCUCUCUCAUUUUAUGUUUCUCUUCACUUUCACCAUUCCAAACCAUCUCCUUUCGUCUUUCAAGUUCGAAGCCAACAAAAUGCACCCAAAUAGUACACUAUAUGAAACCAAUGUUAAAACACUACCAUUCACCACUGACGGAUCUAAGGGAUUAAUGUUCUUUAUAAUUUUCUUUUGUUAGAUCCAAAGCUUAUUUAUUUAUUUUACCAGAUCCAUGGUAAACUCUGGUACACUAUGAAUACGAAAGCUAAUCACCAUUGAAGGAUCUUCAUUAUUACAAGAUCUUGAAUUAGUAGGUGGAUGGAAAAAUCGAGAAAUGUUGCAGUUAUAUCCAAGUAUGAAUGAAGACUUGCAGUUUAUAUCUAUAAGUGUAAAUGAAAGUUGAGAUUAGAUAAUAUUUGGAUUAUAUUUUUAUUUAAAAGAAACUUCAUAGAUUGUAUCAUAUUGUUUAUGACGAUAGCAUGACUAAUAAUUAAUUUGUAUUAUUGGAGGAUUAAUACAUUUGAAUGUAUAUUUUUUUAGUGUA
Long non-coding RNA from Erigeron canadensis, 534 nucleotides. RefSeq lists it as uncharacterized. The transcript is spliced from 2 exons. NCBI's taxonomy places the organism in Eukaryota, Viridiplantae, Streptophyta, Magnoliopsida, Asterales, Asteraceae. The record is from RefSeq and is a predicted model, not a curated record.